Molecule: ribosomal RNA, 505 nt
Filed under: uncultured bacterium
Lineage: Bacteria
Description: bacterial SSU rRNA
Rfam family: Bacterial small subunit ribosomal RNA
Source: RNAcentral
AGAGUUUGAUUCUGGCUCAGGAUGAACGCUGGCGGCGUGCUUAACACAUGCAAGUCGAACGGAGUUUUAACGGAAGUUUCGGAUGGAAGUUAGAAACUAGUGGCGGACGGGUGAGUAACGCGUGGGUAACCUGCCUCAUACAGGGGGAUAACAGUUAGAAAUGACUGCUAACACCGCAUAAUAUAGCGAAACCGCAUGAUUUUGCUAUCAAAUAUUUAUAGGUAUGAGAUGGGCCCGCGUCUGAUUAGCUAGUUGGUGGGGUAAAGGCCUACCAAGGCGACGAUCAGUAGCCGGCUUGAGAGAGUGACCGGCCACAUUGGGACUGAGACACGGCCCAAACUCCUACGGGAGGCAGCAGUGGGGAAUAUUGGACAAUGGGGGAAACCCUGAUCCAGCGACGCCCGCGUGAGUGAAGAAGUAUUUCGGUAUGUAGAGCUCUAUCAGCAGGGAAGAUAAUGACAGUACCUGACUAAGAAGCCCCGGCUAACUACGUGCCAGCAGCCGC